UGAGUAACCUGCCCUUAACUCUGGGAUAAGCCUGGGAAACUGGGUCUAAUACCGGAUAUGACUCCUCAUCGCAUGGUGGGGGGUGGAAAGCUUUAUUGUGGUUUUGGAUGGACUCGCGGCCUAUCAGCUUGUUGGUGAGGUAAUGGCUCACCAAGGCGACGGCGGGUAGCCGGCCUGAGAGGGUGACCGGCCACACUGGGACUGAGACACGGCCCAGACUCCUACGGGGAGCAG
RNAcentral lists this ribosomal RNA (234 nucleotides) under uncultured bacterium. RNAcentral describes it as "partial 16S ribosomal RNA". It matches the Rfam family "Bacterial small subunit ribosomal RNA", at positions 118 to 351 of the family's 1533-position model. The record is from RNAcentral.